UGUAACUAGAAAGAAAGAAAGAAAGAAAACUUGUCACUGUCAUUGAUCUGACAAUAAUUAAUGUCUCUCUAGUUUGUCAUUCUAGCCAUAUUUGCUUUAACUUCUACAAACAAGAAGGCCCUUCUGUUAACCAAAAAUGCCAAGUCAAAUGUAGCAUAAAGUUUUGAAAAGCAGCCAGGGUAGAAUUCACCAGGCACCACCUGGGCAGGAGAACCUCAGAACACUCAAAUCCAUUCUUGUUUCUAAGAACAUCGACUCAGGCAAGCAACUGCCAGAGUCCCGCUGUGUGGGCUGGGACUGGUCCAGUCACCCCAGAGUGCUGAAGACCCAACGGGCUUUUGUGUUUUAUUUUAUUUUGAAUUAUUAUUAUUUUAUGUACAUGGGUGUUUUGCCAGCAUGUGUAUCUGUGCUCUGCCCCAGGAGUCCAGAGGAAGGUAUCAGUUCCUCUGGACCUGGAGUUACAGGCACUUGUGAGCUGCCAUUAGGGUGCUAGGAAUCUAACCCAGCCAAGGUAACUGCUAAGCCAUCUCUCCAUGCCCUCCAAGGGAUACUUUUUUUUUCAGACAAGUGGAACUUCUGAUGCCCCUGCCUCCAUCUCCUGAAUGCUGAGAUUAUAGACUUGCAUCACCACACCUAGACAUAUGUGGUCUGGGGACCAAACCCAGGGCUUAGCUGCUUGUUAGGCGAGCACUCUACCAAUUGAGCUCCAUCCCCACCCCAAGUUUUUUAUCCUGACAUUAAUAAUAAUAAUAAUAAUAAUAAUAAAUGUAUAAAGCAGGCCUGCUUUUGGUACAGACUACAGUUUGGACCUGAUCUGAUAGGACAGCUAUGCUAAGAACUGUCAUCUGCCUUGAAACGAGACAAGACCUACUGCAGGCUGACUCACUACAGAGCUCUGCAGAACCCACUCUAAAUGCUAUCAUCAACCUGAACACCUGGAACAAAAAUCAUUGAGGUUUUUGGUUCUGUCCCAAGUAAUUAUUUUCAAUCCUCUACUCUUCCCUCGGAGAAUGUUUUGCCCAUUCUAUAAACCGGAGUUCAUUUCUCAGCAAGAGUAAAAAGAGAAAAGAGAGUGGGUAAAAAGUUUCUUGAAAGGCUAAAUAAAUCAGACUUGCUGGAAUAAGCCUCCCCAGAGGUGGAGAGGUGAGCCAGCCCCCACCCAUUCCCAGUUGACCACAUCUGACCCUAUGAAUACUGCCUCGCAGAAGUACCCAGAGAAGUUGCCAGAGCAACCAGGUACUGAGCCCCUCCUGGUUAGUUUAUUUCCCAGGCACCACUAGCAUCAUAGGCAAGCAACUCUCCUCACCUCCCCCCCACCACCCCCUUUGCCUAAAAGCAAAGGUGUAAGAGCAUCUGGCAGGUGACUGAGUGUCCUGGAAUUUGUGGCCACUAAGAUAGUACAAACCUGAAAAACCGGUUACUUUUAAGUGCUGGGCCUUGGGGUGAAGUCAGGCUUUAAAGCAAGAACUGGCUUUUCUUUGGGGAGGGGGGGACUUAAUUUGUUUCACAGUAUGUAUUUUUUUUGGGGGGGUGGAGUCUGAAACUUGUAGAUAUACUUCUGCCUAUGUCUCCCCAGUGCUGGGAUUACAGAUGCCCAGCCAGAGGGCUUCUUAGGUACUCAAUGAGAAAGGCAACAGGUACAGAAUGACAGAAGUUCCCAGGGCCCCUUCAGGGCCCAUUUCAGUUAAGGAAGGAAAAUGAGUAAGUACGAACAAUCUCUGUUGCAAACUCUGCCAGUGGAGACAAGCCAGUGAUCACCAGCUAGGUCAGGCUGGGAAAUCUAAACUGUAACUUACUCUGAGCCCUGGCUGACAAGCAGCAGUGACUUGGCCUGAGCUGGAGGACUGAGGACUCAGCAGCAGGUGAGGAGGCCACUAAGGUGGGACAGCCACACCCCAUCUGCAUUUACCUGAAGCAAAUGAAGGCCACAGCACAUAGAAACUUUAGCUAGUGAUUUGCAGGAUAUUAGUACAUUCCUAUUGUUGUGGUGUUACAGUGAAAAUGCUAAUUUGGGACCUGUGAUUAAGUGUUUCAAAGCUGGCAGGCAGUUCAUUGAAAAUUUUAGCCUAUUGUGUCAUUCCAGCUCCUUACAGUCUAAAGAAAUCCAAGCAGAAGAGAAAUGAAAAGUGUGAAGUGAGCUGCACAGAAGUCAGAAAGAACAGGCUACUUUUUUCUAUUUGUAGCUCAUACAGAUUUAUCAAAGUGGAAGUGAUAUAAAUAGGGAGGGCAGAUCCUAUUACCUACCGAAGUCCUUGAACAGAUUUUCUUUGGAAUUGAGCAGCACUCCGUAGGCAGAUGCCCUCAGCGCCAUGAAACUCAACCCACAGCUCCUGGGGGCCCCAUGCUAGCUCAGCUUAGUUGCCUCACUUAAGAGCAAAGGAACGAUUGCACUGUUUUCUAAACUGAAACCUAUCACCCUAAGGCUAUUAACACUUGAAUAUUAUGUCUGGCACAUGAGCACCAUCACGCAACUGAAAUAAUGUGUCAGGAAACUCAUGGGAGUUAGUUCUGCAGGAUAGUAAAGGUGAGCUAACUGUGGAUACAUGUGCCCUUGUAACAUGUAACAUGACAAUGCUUUUAGAGAAAUGCCAUGUCUUUAGGGCUGGAGAGGUGGCUCAACCAUUAAAAGCUAGGUUCACAACCAGAAAUAUGAGGAAUGCCAUUUUUAUAAGAGGUUGCAUGUCUGAAGCCAAGCAUGGUGGUGCAGUGGUUCACACCUGUUAUUCCAGCACUGGGGCAGUAGGAAGGAGGAUCAUUAGUUCAAAGUCAACCCUGGCUACACAGUGACACCUAGCCUAACCUGGACCAACUAGGACCCCAUUUCAGGCCAGGCAUAGUGGUCCAUGCCUAUUUAAUCCCAGUGCUCAGGAAGUUGAUCUCUGUUGAGUUUGAAGCCAGCCUGGUCUACCUUAAGAGUUCAGGUCAGCAAGGGCUAUACAGUGAGACCUUGUCUCAAUAAAGAAAAGCAAAGAAAAAUAAACAGUAGAAGUCACAUUUGAAAUUAUAAACUAGAUGACUUUAAGUUUCUGGCAGGCCAAAGGCCAAGCAACCAAAAUGGCCUAGCUGCAACCAUUCUUAAAAUGGAAUCUAUAAAAAGCUGAAAAAUCAGCAUGAUCAUAUUAACCCAAGAGUAAGGGCACAGAGACUACAGUGUAUGGUUAUAUCUUUGAGAGACAAUAAACUAAGCAAGAUGUUUGUCUUUUAGAAAAAAAUUAAAAUUAAAAUUCCAUCCUGUAACAACAGUUCCCUGCUAAGCAAAUAAGGCACCUGAGCUGAGAGGCCCCCAAAGUCCACCCUCAUUCAAGUUUACACAAGACCAAUCCAAGGCAGGCAGGGAGGACAGCUCUCUAACACAAACAGACAACAAAGCCUUAAGUGUGAGUCUCUUAACGCAAGGCUCUGAGAAAACAGCCAGCAGCUGUGCGAACAUGAGGUCUCCACUCACGCCCAAGUAGUGGGCAGACUUGCUGCAGCGGCACAGCUAUAGCACAGGAGUGAAGUCCAGUGGGCAUGCUCACAGCUCUCCACUGUUGACUCAGGCUCCUCACUGAGUUCCAUCUUCUUUGAGGACUGCAAUGGAGGAGGUGAGGCAGUGAGAAACUGUAAAACCCAGGGUCAGCUUGAAACACAGCCUGGAAUCCCUGCCCUCUGUCCCAACCCUUGCAAAAUUCAGUCUCUCUCCUCAAAUGAGGACAUCCAGUUGUAGCCAGAACUGCUCUUCUGGGGAAACCCUGGUUCUGAAAAUGAGCAACGGUCCCAGAAGUGGCAGCUGGCUCACCUAUAAUCUCAGGACUCAGGAGGCGGAGGCAAGGGCAUCAUUGAGCCCGUCAGGGCUAAAAAACAAGACAUCACUUAAAAAAGGAAACAAAGAAAAGCAAGCCAAAUCCCCAAUUGCCCAUCUAAUUGUAAAAACUAGUUCCUGGGCUAACCUGCAAAAGCUCCAGUUAUAAAUUCCCCACGCCAGAGGCACAGCUAAGCCACAGGAUGUGAGCGCAGGGACAUAGUGUCUGUGGCCUGAUACACUAGUCCAGAACCUAACUCCUGCCUCCAGAACCCAGCCAACAGGGACGGGACAGCCUACAAACCGCUUUUCCAACAUGGUAUCUAUCUAUUUCUUGUAUAGAGAAAAAGAUUCUCAGCUGAGGACACAGCUCAGCCGGUGUAUAGUGCUAACCUAGCAUACAUGAGGCUAUGGUGGUUUGAAUGAAAAAAUGCCGCUAAAGGCACAUGUAUUUGAACAUGUGAUUUCCUAGUUAGUGGUGCUCUUGGGCAAGUUAUGAACUGUUAGGAGGUGGAGCCUUGCUGAAGGAAGCUUGUCACUAGGGGGAAGGCUUUGAGAGUUCACACCAUACCCAGCUUCCAGUUUUCUCAGAACUCCCUGCCUGUGGAUGGAAUGCCUGUGAAGGGAAAUGUCUCUCAGCUUCUUGCUUCAGCCAUCUGCUGCCUUUUCCACUAUUAAAAAGUCUCCCUCUGGAACCCUAAGCCCAAAUAAACCCUUCCUUCUGCAAGUUGCUUUUAUGGUGUUUUAUCACAGCAGCAAAAAAGUAACUAAUCCAGAGGCCCUGAGUUCCAUCCCAAGUACCACACAGAAGUAGGCUCAGUGGGAUAUGCCUGUAUUCCCGGCAUGUGAAAGGUAGAGUCAGAAACUCAAGGUCACCAAUAGCUACAAAGCAAGUAGAACAUCAUACUGGGCUAUACGAGACACUGUCUCAAAAACAUUAGAAAAAUGGUGAUUCUGGGACACAAAAACUGUCUUCUUCAAUUAAGUUCUUUAGUCUAAGUCACCAAGACCUGUCUACUUUUCUGGCCACAGCCACCCUGAAGUCACCUGCACUUCAGCUCCAGGGAACUACUGUUCACCAAAAGAUUAGGAAGGAAGCCAGGCUAAGGCGAUAGCUAAGCCACAGAGAGAGUUUGCUUGCUUCAUACUAACAUAUAUGAGGCCCCACUGGGCUCUGUGUGUCUCAGUACAUGGCUCCAUCUUCAACUCUCUUGAAUUCCUCAGCUUAGGAGGCAAAGCCCCAUGCCUCAGAAAAAAAAUCUGACCUUACCUGGUGUCACCCGCUAUGAAGUAGCUAAGCCAAGAACAAAUCCAGGUUGCUGAGCACCAAACAUAAGAGCUGCACUGCUAGGAUCAACCGUCCCAUGUGCGCUAAAUUUUUAACACAUUUUAAAUUUUUCAGAAAAUAUUUAGUUUCAAUGGCAGCACUGAAAAGCUCUCUAAAACUUUACAGUUCAAUACUGUUACAUACACACAACCAUUAAGAGGGCAGAUGUGACACAGAUAGUCCUAAUUCCUGCUUUACCUCACAGCCAGCUAUGCACACUACUGUUCUAAUCAAUAACACAUUAAAAUGUGCCUUUAUAGGCACAUCUAAGUUAUAAAACCCCCUCCCUUUCCUGCGUCUGAUGUCAAAACUCAUAAGGAUCUUGGAGAAAGGCAACUUCUCAGAAUGGAUGAGCCCAUCUUAGAACUGGUGGCCUCCAUCAAAACCCUGGGAGCAGCACUGAGGCCCAUACCACAUGGUACUCAAAAGUAGGCUACUUGUGCCCUGGCCUAGAUGCCAAGCUACAAAAGCACCCACAGCUCUCAGACUCCUCAAAACCAGCAGGGUUCCUUCCCUUAGGCCUGGCUAUUAAAGCCUAAGCUGGUGAGUUCUGAGAACAGAAUGCAUCCUCUUUACUGCUCUCAGACUCACUCAGGCUUCUUCCUUUUUAAAUGGACUGUAUAUUUCAGCAGUCAUCAGUAACUUGGGAAUACCAGACACAAAUCAACAGGCCCAGCAAAAAAAGGGAAAGGGCAGAUGUCACACACAUGGCUAAGUGUGUGAUGAGCUAUCCCUGACUUUAAAGUAUGUGUGGUGGCUGAAACUUCCUCAACAGCAAUGAUCGACAGUGUAGAAGCACAUGAGCUGUUCUCCCCUCACUAGAAGGAAAAAAAAAAAAAAAAAAAAAAAAAAAAACAGCACAGUUCACUCUGAGGAAGAUCUCCAGAACUUCCCUGGGACCCAUAUGGUGGAAAGAAGCCAUUUCCACAUUAACAUCUGACCUCCACACAUGGGCCAUUGUAAACACAUAUCACAUACACAAUAAAUAAUAAAUUGUUGUAUUAAUUAUUUUUAAAAUUAUACACAAAAUCACACACAUAAACUUAAACCUACAAGCCAGGCUCAGUAGUGCAAAUGUCUGUUAGUUCAGCAUCUCUAUAGGACACAGAUGCCUACUGUGCAUAACAGAGAAACACAAGGACCUAACCUUUCCAUUUGCAUGUGUGAAUCUGUAAUUUGUCUUCCUUUAAAUAAAACAGUUGCUGAGACACACAAAGCACAGUCAAUAGCUGGGUAUUUUCUGAAUCCACAAUGAGCACAGCUCUGAUUUUUGAAGACAAAGAACUUCCAAAUGUGAUUCUGCUUUGGGGAUAUGUACCUGAAUCCUGCAACAGGACACUCAGGCUGACACCUGCUCACCAUUCCUUACCACCUCAGCUCAUACAUUUAAAUGAGCUCAUACUAGUCUGGACCCCAAAUCCAGACUAGUCUCUACUGAGAGAUCAAGAAGAGACAAGACAGGGUCCCUAAAGUACCUACAGCAAGGCAGGUAGGGGAAAGUGGACCUUGUGGGCUGUGUACUAGGGAGACAAAAUCUGGCCUGGUAGGGUGACCCAACCCUACCAGACGAUGACACUGGGAAACACAUGAGUUUGACACAGCAGAGCCCAGGACUGUAUAAGGAAGUACUUCACUUCCUGUUCUAACCAACCCACAAGACUGUGAAUAAAGACAUUAAGCCUGCUCAAAAGGAGAACUCUGCUUUUCCCAGAGAGCUACCUAGACUCUGGAAGCAGGAAUCAAUUGGGUAAGGGGGAUCUAGCCUGAACCCCUAAAUAAACUGUGACACCUAAGUCCAUUUUCAGAGGCUAAGGAGCCAGGGCUGAUAGGCAACCAGGGCCCAAUAACCAUGUCAUGAGUGAACUAUAGCAGAGGCAGGGUGGGAAAGAGGGAGCCCAGGAGUGGAAGAACACAGACCUGGGUCUGAACCCUGCCUGUGCACCCCAGCCCAUGAGCAGAGAGGAAUUCAUAUGCUCACUGAACCCCAACUUCCUUGUCUACAAACCGAGCAAACCCAAAGGUCACAAAUAGGGAGAGAGGAUCCCCAAUGAGGAGCACAGAAGAGAGCACUGUGGUCUAGCCCAGGACUCAGAUGGCUUAAGAACUGAGUUCAUAAGAAAGACAAGCUGGUUUGAGAAGUGCCACAUGACACAGGCAAGGGGCUGAGGGGGUGGGGGGAGGGCAGGCCUUUGUCCUGGGAGUUGCCCAGGACAUGGUGCUGAUGAAUCUGGGCCUCCAGCUAGAACCCAGGGGCACUGAGAAGUGGCACAUACAUGCACACACAGUGUUAGUCAGGCUUUGCAUGGCUGUGACAGACAUGUGACAGACAGCUGAAAAGUGGGAAGAUCUACUCUGCCUCUUAGUUUCUCUACAUGGUCAGCUGGCCCCAUUACUAAACAUUAUACUAAGAGGUAUGUGAUGAGAAAGUCUAGUCACCAGACACGGGGAAGAAGGGAGAGUAGGACACAUGGGACAAGAUGGCUCCAAAGAUGCACCCUGAUGAUACUGUUCCCUCCAACUAAGCACCACCUCUCAAAGUUGCUACCUUUUCCCAAUCAUGCUAUAAAAUUAUGAAUGUUUGUGAAUUAAUCCCUUGAUUUGGUGAAGGCUCUACUGACCAAGCCAUUCUCAGUGACUUUAUAUACCACUAGAGACCAAGGGUUCCAAAACAUAAGCCUUUGGGGGAAAGGAACACUUCAUACCCAAACCAGACACACAAAUCAACUGAGUGGAAGGGAAUGAUACAGGACAUGACCAAGGAUAACAAGACACCAGACCAAAGAGACAGACAGACAGCUUCUUCCCGACUGUCUCCUCAGGGCAGCCAGCAGCCGAGCCCCCCCAACCCGAAACUAUCUAAAUCUAACCACUAGCACCACAGAAGAGCCUCUGCCACCACAGAGAGGCCAGGUAAACCUGAACUUCUGGGUAGCACAGGAGCUAAGACUCAUCCUCAAAAAUUUCACUACAUUAGACAAUGCCUGCCCUCCAAGACACGAAGGCACCAGGAACCUCCCUUGAGCUGGGUUUGCUCAGCUCAAGUCCUCCACUUGGGCUGCAGACCAAUAUUUGAGGCCUCAGUCUUACUCCAUGUGGACUUCCUGUGUCUGUGCAAAUUGGUGUAUUCACCUAUAACUGGAAUUAUUUUCCCACUCUAGACAGGAAUGACUUGGAUGCUCUCUUGCUUUACUCCUAACUUCAAGAAAGAAAGAAGUCCACAACAGUGCUGUAUUAAAGCUCAGUGGUCAAGCAUUUUCCUUGAUGGAUUUUUAGCCUAGGUUCAUCCUUAGUACCAAAAAUAAGAAAACAAAGAUCUGUGAUGGGAAAUGGUACACAGAAUCCUUGUUCAAAAAAAAAAAGGUAUUAGGAUGCUGCUUAGUUGUAGAGCACAUGACUACCAUGCCCAAAGCCCUGGAUUCAAUAAUGCCUACCACAGUAUAAACCAGUAUUGAAAUGCAGCUGUAAUUCUAGAACUAAACAGGUGGAGACAAGAGAGUCAGAUGUUAAGAGUCAUCCUUGGCUACAUACCAAGUUCAGUGCCAGCCUGGAAAAAGACCGUCUCAAAGUGAAAAGGGGGGGGGGCAGUGGCUUCAUUGUGUAGAUGCAGGUUGUCUUUGAAGCUAAAACCAGCAUAGCAUCAAAACUUCUGCUUUCUAUCAAGGCCCCAAUUUGAGGGGAACCUGACCACAGGGAGGGCUGACUGGCAUUUUAACUGUUAGACAGUCAGCUCAGCUUAUUAGUUUGUGAUGCUAAUAAGGCAACCAGGGACUGCACAUGCUAUUUCUUCACAAAACCAAGUAGGUAGACCAAGGCUCAUGCUUGCAGUCCCAACAGCUGGUAGACUGAGGCAGAGGACAACCUUGAGUUCAAGGCCAACCGGGACCACAAUGUGACAUGUCCCAAAACUCCUGCUCUGCAGGUGCUUGGGUCAUGCCAGGGGCUCUAGACUGGGCAAAGGAAAACACACAUGGCCCAUUCCUAUAGAGCCAGAGAACAGCUGGACCUCACCUAGAAAUAGACUCAGCCAGGCACAGUGGUGCACACCUGUAAUCCCAGCACUCAGGCAGGCAGACGCAGGCAACUCUUUUGUGAGUUUGAGGCCAGCUGGGUAUACAGCCAAGGCUACAGAGAAACCUUGUUAAGAAUAGAACCAAAAAAGAGAAAGAAAGAAACAAACAAAACACCACAGACUCACACUUCAGCAAUGAUACACCAUAAUCACUUAAACCUGUCUCUCCCUCAAGGAGCACACCAACCUCCCCAGUUUGGGGAGACUUUUAAACUACAGAGCAUGGAUGUAACUUAAUCUGUAGUUCCCAAAUCAGAAAAUGACCAACCACAGCACAGAAGAGGCUUGCCAUGCCCUCUGCCCCAGCACAAGCCACUUCCCAUUACCUCCUGGCAGCAGGAUGUUACCAGAUCUAGGGACCUGAAAGAGAAGACGGUGCUCUGCACACCUUCAGAACUUCAGUCAGAACUUUGGGUUUUUGUUUGUUUGUUUCUGAGUCUCACUCCUUUAAGUUCAGGCUCGUCUUCCUGCCUCGGCCUGCCAAGUGCUAAGAUUACAGGGAUGAGCCACUGUACCCAGCUUUACAAGUUCUACAUCUUCUUGAUCCUCCAAUAGCUCCAGAGUCAUUACAGUCACUUUUGGGACCCAUCCCCUGCUAUUUUGACAUCUCUCCUGCCCAAACCCACAUGGAGUUGGUCAGAUUACUCCUACCACACUGACCCCUUUGGUUUCAAACAGAGCCGUGGUCUCACAAGGCUCUUCCCCGUCACAUGCAGUUGACCCCUUACUUCCUUCCAGGCUCCCUUUACAAAGAGCCUUGGCAUAGAGGACCCUUGUUGUUGAGUCCUUUCAGACCCCCACCCUUGCUCCCCUUCAAGCUCCUCAGUCCUCUCCUAUAUUAUUAAGGGAUGCCAAGCCCCAUGAUACCACUGGCUCCCACUGCCUCCUAGCCCCAUCAUACCAGUGGCUCUCACUGCCUCAUAGCCCCAUCAUACCAGUGGCUCCCACUGCCUCCUAGCCCCACGAACGCCAUUGGCUCUCACUGCCUCCUAGCCCCAUGAACGCCACUGGCUCCCACUGCCUCCUAGCCCCAGCAAGCCACUGGCUCCCACUGCCUCCUAGCCCCAUCAAGUCACUGGCUCCCACUGCCUCCUAGCCCAUGAACGCCACUGGCUCCCACUACCUCCUAGCCCCAUCAAGCCACUGGUUCCCACUGCCUCCUAGCCCCAUCAUGCCACUGGCUCCCACUGCCUCCUAGCCCCAUCAAGCCACUGGUUCCCACUGCCUCCUAGCCCCAUCAUGCCACUGGCUCCCACUGCCUCCUAGCCCCAUCAAGCCACUGGCUCCCACUGCCUCCUAGCCCCAUGAACGCCACUGGCUCCCACUGCCUCCUAGCCCCAUCAAGCCACUGGCUCCCACUGCCUCCUAGCCCCAUCAAGCCACUGGCUCCCACUGCCUCCUAGCCCCAUGAACGCCACUGGCUCCCACUGCCUCCUAGCCCCAUCAAGCCACUGGCUCCCACUGCCUCCUAGCCCCAUCAAGCCACUGGCUCCCACUGCCUCCUAGCCCCAUCAAGCCACUGGCUCCCACUGCCUCCUAGCCCCAUCAUGCCACUGGUUCCCACUGCCUCCUAGCCCCAUGAACGCCAUUUGUUCAUGCUGCCUCCUAGCCCCAUCAUGCCACUGGUUCCCACUGCCUCCUAGCCCCAUCAUGCCACUGGCUCCCACUGCCUCCUAGCCCCAUCAUGCCACUGGCUCCCACUGCCUCCUAGCCCCAUGAACGCCACUGGCUCCCACUGCCUCCUAGCCCCAUCAAGCCACUGGCUCUUACUGCCUCCUAGCCCCAUCAAGCCACUGGCUCCCACUGCCUCCUAGCCCCAUGAACGCCACUGGUUCUCACUGCCUCCUCUAAGAGACAACAGGAACAGAUGUUAGCUUUUGGUUUCAGAAUAGAAAGCACAUCUGCAGCUGUCAGGUAAGAGGAGAACUUAAAGGAACAAUGAUGACUCAGUGGGUACUGCCCUUGUCACUUCUAAGAAACCCUCUUCUGUGUCAUUGCUGGUCUAGUGGUUUGUUGUUCUAUUUGCAGGCCGGGCAGAGGAGUAGGGAGUUUUUCCACAUAAAACAUUUGCUUUAAAAUGUGCAGCUGAUAGGCAGGCCUGUCAGGACAGACUUACAAAUAAAACCAAUUGCAGGGGAGGCUGAGGCAGGAAGAUCACAUGCUCAAGGGUUUCUUAGGAACUCAGUGAGAUCCUGCUCAACAUUUGAUAGAGAGAAAGAGACAGAGACAGAGUGACAGAGAGAGAAAAAGACAGAGAGAACUGGAGAGACAGGUCAAGGGCAGAGUGCUUGCCACCUUAUAUGCCAAGGCCCUAACUUCAAUCCCCAAUAUUGCCCGAAAAAGGAGUAAAGACUGAUUUUGGAAUCAGCUGGAAUUAAAAGAAUCUUACAUCCAGUCAGUGGCCACAUGGAAGCUCUGUGAUAGCACAGGGCUAGAGGCAUAGUCUAAAAGGCUAUCUCUUAAAAUUACCUCCCAGGCCACCCAGAGGCAAAGCAAGUUGGAAGCCAUUCUUCCCUCACAAGUUACAUCUGCUUUAAAAUGGGCAGCUUCAGCCAGUCCUGUCAGCAGACUUGUAAAAACCAAUUGCACCAGAGGCUGCCUACCUUUCCUGGUGUCUCCCACCCUAAAUCACAGCUAGGAUCAGUACUCCCAAACACCUGCAGGAGUCAGUCAGGCCCAGAAGAACUUACCCUCCAGUGCUGACUAAGCAAAGGAAAACUCCUGCCAAAGGUCAGUUGCUGAUGUGAUGGGCAAGUUUCACAUAGUAAGGACAGGGCAGUGAGCUUUUCCUCCACUGUGAGGACAGACCCACCCCUCCAUACGCUAUCAGAGACCAAAAUAGGAUAUGACAUAAUCUUUAGCACCUCAAAACCUUGCCAGCAAUAGCUGGCUUUCAGUUAUAGAGCAAGGUGACAUGACUAAACAUUUUCCCACUAACCUCUGGGGCUACCUACAGGAGUUACUCCCAAUCUCUAAGGAGCCAGGAAAGUCUAGAAGAUGGCAGGAGCCACUGGUGGGUACCUGUCAGCCAGGGCUUCGUAGCUCAUGCCUUUAGUCCUAGGACUUGGGAGGCAGGGGCAGGCCAGCUACCCUUGUCUCUAUAGGUACACAUAUACACACACACACAUACCACCGUCUCCUUCUGCUUCCAGAAAAUGGGAUGAAGCAAAAAGGACACAGGGCCCAGCCCAAGAAGGGGCCCCUGCCACACUCCACACCUACUGUGCCAGUUCUGUGCAGGGAAAAAGUGUGUGAGUAUGAAAUGGGACUGCAGACCUACAAACCCACAACUUCAAACGUUUUUAGAAAAUAGGGCCAUUUCUGAAAAGGAAAUGUCAUAUGUGUGAUGAGCAAGCAUCACUGAGGCAGAGGCAUUUGAGGCACUAUGGGUUAACAUGGAAACAGUGACUUCCAAAAGUGGCUUCCAGCCAAGCAUGGUAGACCUACCCAUAGUCCCAGCACUAAGGACACCGAGGCAGGAGGAUCACAAGUCUGGGGCUACAGAGAUAAGUAGUCUCAAAAAAAUAAGGCAACUGUGUGGAGGAGGAAAAAUGACCCAGAGAUGAUCCAACACCAGCUUCAUCAUCCGGCUCUGUGUCACACAGGACUCAAAAAGAUUGCCAAUAGGCAGCACACAGUGCCCUGCCAACUAUCAACAGGGGCUAACAGCUGGCCCCUGGCAGGAAUAGCACUAAUGGGUGGGUGACCCACAGGAGAAGAAGAAAAAAACAUCAAGCUAAAGACCAGUCCCUGGCAUGUUCUACCCAUCCCCCAGCUCCCCGAAAACAAUUUAUAGCCAAGUUCCAACAAAUGCUUCCAGCCCUGCCCUGAGCAGCUGCAAGGGCAACAAAUGUCUAAGAUGAGACUUGCAGUGAAAAGCACAAUCAGGAGACACCCAAGUCAAGGGCAUAAGACAGCAACCAAAGAAUUGGGACCAAGGAAAAAGAAGGCACAUAUGGUACUACUAGAUUAUAAUCCCAAUAUUCAGGGGCUGAGGUAGGAUGAUCGUGAGUUCAAGGCCAGCAUGAACUACAUAGUGAAACCAGGUCUCAAAAAGCCAAAAGUAGAUGGGUGGUGGUGGCAUACACCUUUAAUUCCAAGGCUCAGAAGACAGAGGCAGGUCUAUCUCUGUGAGUUCAAAGCCAGCCUAGUCUACAGAGAGUUCCAGGAUAGCCAGGGCAACACAGAGAACCCCUAUUUUGGAGUGCGGAAAAAAAAAAGGACAUAAACUGUGGUUCACAUCACAUUGAAAAGCCCAUAGGAGACAGGCAAACACUCCAUCCAAACCGAGAGCCAUAAACGAAACGUAAACAAGACAAGGAUCAAGUGGGACAGGAAUAACUCGGACAGAGGAAGCUGGGCAGCACAAUUAAUAACUGACCCAGAUAGAAACCAUUUCUUCCAAACACGCAGCCCUUCCAACUCUCCUACGUGGCAGGCCACAAGGGAAAUUCCAUUCACUGGCCACAGUGGAAAAGAUAAAUAAAUCCUUAAAAUCAUUCAUUGAUUUAUCAGCACAUUUUACCAUUAAAAAAGUGACUGAGGCAAGCUAUAUUCUGGCUCCCAGUUCUGAAGGGCUGAGGUCAGAGCAACACAGGUGACAGCAGUUUCCAGUACACUCUGCAGCACUUAUCAAGGUAUGGGAAUACAUCUGCACUUGUGCUGUUUAUCUGUGUGUCUGUCUGUGGUCUCCCUCCUCCUAUCUGAGACUCACAGGCCCCACCCUAGAGAGCUCAUCUAAUCCUAAUCCCACCCAGAGGCCUCACCUCCCAACACCAAUCUGGGAUUAAAUGUCACCUCUUAAUCCCUCACAGUGGAGAUUUAAAUUUCAACAAUGAAGCUUUGGGGACCUCCACCUCCAUCUAAAGCACAGGAUGAGGGUACACUUCAGUGGGUCUGGGAAGGUUAAGCAGGUUAAGCACUAGGGAAUACUAGAAAAUGGAAACAAAGUUAAAACCUGUAAGAGUGCUGUGAGACUCAAGGGCAGACACAUAGCUUUAAACAUUUUUUAAUUUUAUUACUUUAUGUGGAUGUGUGCACGCCUGGGUGUGUCUGUUUGUGCUGGAGCUACACACUACGCCCCUCCCCCAGGCCUGGAGGUACAGACAGUUUCAAGUUUGCCAGUUGUGUAUACUGAGCACCAAACCUACAUCACAUCCUACAUAUGUAAGGCAAGGCAUUCAUACACAUGAAAAAUUUAAAACAUCUCAAAAGAAAAAAAUGCCAGGUGUGAUGGCAAAACCCAUUGAUGGCCAGCACUUGAAGGGCAAAGGCGGUGGAGCACAAGACGGCCAGCCUGGGCUAGACAGCAAGACCUUGCCUCUAGUUAACUUAAUUUUUAAAGAAAUCCUGAGGAUGGGAAGACGCCUUUGCCAGUCAACACACUUGCCUUAUAAGUGUAGAGCAAAGGCUGGAGCUCAAGAGCCCAUGUUAAAAAGCCAGUGGCGGCUAAGCAGUGAUGGUGCACACCGUAACCCCAGCACUUGGGAGGCAGAGGCAGAGGCAGGCAGAUCUCUGAAUUCAAGGCCAGCCUGGUCUACAGAGUGCCAGGACAGCCAAGGCUACCCAGGGAAACCCUGUCUGGAAAAAAAAAAAAAAAAGCAGCACAUACUUACAAAUCCCAAAGAUGAGGUUAGGAGUGGAGAAGGCAGGAAGAUCCCUGGAAACUCAGGACAGCAAUCCUGGGUGGAGUUCCACUCGGUGAGAGACCUUGCCUCAAAACAUGGCAGACACACAAGAUUGUCCUCUGACCACACACACACACACACCUGCACACAAACACAAGCCAUAGAGAGCCAAAUACAUACACACAUGCACACCUGUACAUACACACGCACCAUAGAGACACACAUACAUACAUUAGACAGGCACAAUACACACGCACCAUAGAGACACACAUACAUACAUUAGAGAGGCACAAUACACACACACCAUAGAGACACACAUACAUACAUUAGACAGGCACAAUACACACGCACCAUAGAGACACACAUACAUACAUUAGACAGGCACAAUACACACACACCAUAGGAAGACACACAUACACUAAAACAGACACCUAGAUUAUCUCUGCAAUUCUAUUUUCUAAAACUCCUUCAAUAAUAAAACACUGAUAAAAGACAGGAAACCUGGGAACCCUUGCUGUCCUGAAACUCACUCUGUGGACCAGGCUGGCCUCAAACUCAAUGGCCUGCCUCUGCCUCCCAGGUGCAUUAAAGGCAUGGGCCAUCACUGCCUGGCUAAGAUGCUUUUUUAAGAACUGUGAGAAGACAGAGGCAAGAGGACCAGGAAGUCAAGGUCACCCUCAAAUACAAUACAGUGAAGCUGUAGUGAGGGCAUGUGAGACCCUGUAAAAAAAGAAAAACAAAAACCAUAAUGUAACCAUAAUUAACAAUCCUAGGCUAACACACACUUAUGGUUAGGAAAAAAAAAUGCAUGCACAGAAAUGGAUGUGAUCCAGGCUAGCAUGUGGCCUAAAUUAGACAUAUAAGCAUGGUUCUUUUGGAAAAAUUGCAGGAGGAAAGGAGGGAAAAUCUCCCUAGAGAUAGCAACUAAAUUGACUGCAACUCCCAGCUGGCUUCAUUAUUCUCUUGUCCUCAAUAUAAUAAAACUCUUCAGCAUUUAUACCCAAACAAUUUGGAGAAAACUUGUCCUGUAUAAAUUUCAAAGUAGUUAACCACCAGACCACGCAUUUUAUAAUCAGUUCCAACUGUUAAGUCUUCCCCCAAGAGGAGUACUGUAAACAACUAAAUCAAGGGUGGAAACCUGCAUUUAACAUAAGUAACAUGGCAUUCUGCAAAGUUUAAAGUAGUAAGCUGAGCCACUGAACUACCAGCCAAGAGGACUGCAAUCCCAUCGAUGGUUCCUGGCCUGAGCUACCUGGCCUCAGCCGCCACUGUGUAGACAGCCCUUCCCAUGUUCAUACCCCAGACUUUACCAGGCCAGUACCACCACCACCAGACCCACUGGCAGAACAAAGUAAGUUCUUUUUACCAGCUCUGAAUAGCACCCCACAUCCUGAGAGAGUCCUGACUAACUCCUACAGCACACUGCCCUCCAGACAUUUGAUAAGUAUUAUCAGCCAAGCCUAGUAGUUCCUGAAAUCCUGGUCACAGCAGAGACUGGAGUAGGAGGACAGCAAGUUCAAGAGCAGCCUGGGCGAAUGAAAAGAGAAAGGAGGCAGCUGACAGGUAAUGCACUUCCUUCCAUGCAUGAGGCCACAGGUUCAGUGUGUGUGCAUCUGUGUGUGCAUCUUUUGUGUGUGCACAUUUCUUUAGUCUCUUCAAAGAGCACACAGUUGCAUCCAGUGCUGUUCCAAGCCACCUACCCUAGCCUCUGCUAUGUCUAAAUACAUACACAUCUCACAGAGCAGGCCUCUCUCUCUACUGUGCGAAUAUCCUAAGCCCUGCUGCUGAAAUAGUCCCUCCAGCUGGAUUCCUUCACCCCUUCCCAAAGCCAAAUUCAGGAGGAACCGCACCCCUAUCUCAGUAGCCAAAGUCCUAGCUAUCGCAAAGCUCUGCAGGUACCUGACACCCCAGAAAAUAGGCUAGGACUUCCCUCCUGCACUCUAAAAAUUAUCUUCUCUUGGGAGAGGCUGUUCUCCCACAAGUCAAAGAGCCUACUGCUCAGACUUGGGAAAGCCCCAUGAUGCCUGAGCAGGCCAAUACCUUUAGAGAAAUAACUUCUGGGACUGCACUGGGCACCAAACCAUAUACCAUGUCCAUCUGUUUGUUUGUUUGUUCAGCAGGGGAAAAGUCCCUGUUUCAGUUUGUUUACCAACAACUGGAAUACAGUCCUCACCACACAAGGAGCUGCCUCCAUGUGACCAGGUAGCAGAACAAACACAAAAGCGCUGUCAACUACAGGAGUCAACUGUUCACUCAGGAGACCAGAGGGGCUAUUUACAUCUCAGCCGUGGAGUUUGAAAAGAGGACAGACAGGCGGCCAAACAUGCCAUGCUCCUUGAUGCUGGGUGUAGAAAGAAUCCCCUAAACUCCUUGUCUGUGGGCUAACCCUAAGGAAUUUGAAGGUGCUGUUAUCUCACAGUACUCAGGUAACUGCCCACCUCCCCAAGGACUUGGUAAAAAGCAUGCAUAAGACACUUAAAAGAGCUUCAGUAAAGCUCUGUAAGAAAACAUCUGCCUCGCUUGCACCAGGCCUGGCUUCAUCUCCAAAAACAGAAAACUAACAGGAACACACAUGACAAACUACACUAUGUAGGUACUGAGUCUGAAAGAGAUACUCAAAAUGGUUCCAAGCAAGUUUCCACAUAAAAAUAGAGCAUAGUUACAGGCAGGGGACAGGUGUGAAGGGCUGGAAAGUUCAAUGUCCCUGAGGAAAUCUAGAGGAGCAACCUUAGAGAUGGUCAGAAACUGCGCAGGACACCUCUACCACUACCUUGGACCCUCUCCAGCACUGACAAAGUCAUACCGCCUGAGACAGUGGCCCCAGUCUGCUGAUACAAAGGCCGUUCUACCACAUAAGUACCAGUAUUUCCCCUGGAGAUGAGGUGAAUGGCCACACACAAGUGAGAGGCACUGAGGCCCAGUGUCCGUUCUCCUUACCAACUAUUAACCUUUUAAGAAAGAAACUCAGUUGGGCAUUAUGGCACACACCUUUGAUCCCAGCACCCAGGGAGGCAGCAGAAUCACUGAGUUCGAGGCCAGACUGGACUACAAAGUGAGUCCAGGACAGCCAAAGGCUUCACAGAGAAACCCAGUGAUGAAAAACCAAAGGAAAAAAAAAAAAAGAAAAAGAAAAAGAAACUCUUAACUCUAAGCUGGGCAGGGGGGAGUAUAGGUCUUUAAUCCCAGCACUUGGGAGGCAGAUCUAAGUUCUAGGUCAGCAUGGUCUACAGAGUGAGUUCCAGGACCAGGACUGCCAGGUCUACACAGAGAAACCAUAUCCCCUCAUGUUCCCUUCCCCCCAAAAAAGAAAAGAAACUAACUAACUAACUCACUCUAGGAGGCAAGAGAGAUGGCUCAGCAGUUAAGAACAUUUGCUGCUUUUGCACAGGACCCAAAUCCAAUUCCCAGUACCCACAUGGAGCCUCACAGACAUUUGUAAGUCCAGUUCCAAGGAAUCUGGCACGGCCUCCAAGGACACCAUGAAGGGUUUCUCUGCUGCCCUGGCUGUCCUGGACUCAAUUUGUAGACCAGACUGGCCUUGAACUCAGAGCUCCAUCUGCCUCCUCCUCCUCCUCUUCCUCUUAAGUGCUGAUAUUAAAAACAUGUGCCACUACACCCUGCUUUAAAAAAAUUUUCUUUAAAUGAAUUCUACUACAGCUGGUGAUAUGGCCUUGCCAGGGGUACCCCAAGUACAAUUCUUAGCACCCACAAAGGCUGCUCACAACCUGUAACUCCAACUCCAAGGCAUCUCAAACCCUCUCAAACCCUCUUCUGGCUUCCGCAUGGCAGAUACACCACACACACACACACACACACACACACACACACACACACCCUUUAAAAAUAACAGUGUAUAAAGCCGAAUUCCAAGGCUAGGGCUGCAGUUCAGUGGUAAAGGACUUGCUUAGCAUGCGUGGAUCCUAAGUUGGAUCCCUAAGACCA
Molecule: long non-coding RNA, 18746 nt
Organism: Meriones unguiculatus (Mongolian gerbil)
Lineage: Eukaryota; Metazoa; Chordata; Mammalia; Rodentia; Muridae
Exons: 2
Source: RefSeq, a predicted model, not a curated record